AUACGUAGGGGGCGAGCGUUGUCCGGAAUGAUUGGGCGUAAAGGGCGCGUAGGCGGCUUUGCAAGUCAGUAGUGGAAGUCCAUUUUUCAAGGAUGGAAGUGCUACAGAAACUGCGGAGCUUGAGUGCAGGAGAGGUUAUCGGAAUUCCCGGUGUAGCGGUGAAAUGCGUAGAGAUCGGGAGGAACACCAGUGGCGAAGGCGGGUAACUGGACUGCAACUGACGCUGAGGCGCGAAAGUGUGGGGAGCGAACAGGAUUAGAUACCCUGGUAGUCCACGCCGUAAACGAUGAUUACUAGGUGUAGGGGGUAUCGACUCCCUCUGUGCCGCAGUUAACGCAUUAAGUAAUCGACCUGGGGAGUACGGCCGCAAGGUUAAAACUCAAAUGAAUUGACGGGG
RNAcentral lists this ribosomal RNA (397 nucleotides) under uncultured bacterium. Its description in RNAcentral is "partial 16S ribosomal RNA". It matches the Rfam family "Bacterial small subunit ribosomal RNA", at positions 523 to 918 of the family's 1533-position model. The record is from RNAcentral.